GGGAACAUAACUUAACAGGUAGAGUAGAGGGCAGGGUAAUCCCUACUAAUUAAGGUUCGAUUCCUUUUGACGCAUGGUUGCGUAAUAUGCAGGUUCGAGUCCUGCUGUUCCUG
This 113-nucleotide transfer RNA is filed under the name Streptococcus suis. Its description in RNAcentral is "tRNA-OTHER". It matches the Rfam family "tRNA". Rfam says of the family: Transfer RNA (tRNA) molecules are approximately 80 nucleotides in length. The record is from RNAcentral. Lineage: Bacteria; Bacillati; Bacillota; Bacilli; Lactobacillales; Streptococcaceae.